UGCUUCGUAUCGCGAAUGCCCCAAUAAUGUGACGUUUAUUGCGUCUUUCAGAAUUUAUUUAAUUGUAUUUUAGUUUAAAUAAAUAUUCAAAGUGGUGUGCAGUUUAAGCCUGUGCAGUUUGUGGGCGUUGUAAAGACGCUGAAGUUCAUUUUUAGUAGUUUUUAAAUAUAAGGAUGACCAUCCGUCCGGAUUUCCCCGGACAUGUCCUUAUUUUAGGGUUUGUGUAGUGCCGCAUAAACCAUUUAUGUUGGAUUGAGGCGCAUGACGCAACCUGUUGCAACAAGAGCGCUGAGAGUGCGGCCCUCGAGCUAUUUGUCGGGCUUGACUGAGCACAUCCUCUCUUUCGGCCCCGCGGCUCCUCUUAUCACGAAACUGCGGAGGCCAUGAGUUCUAGGAAUAUCGUAAACCGAGGGGGCUUAUAGCGACAGUUGAGUGUUGUAAAAUGAUUUGAUGAAACAAA
Belonocnema kinseyi is the source of this 460-nucleotide long non-coding RNA. RefSeq lists it as uncharacterized. NCBI's taxonomy places the organism in Eukaryota, Metazoa, Arthropoda, Insecta, Hymenoptera, Cynipidae. The record is from RefSeq and is a predicted model, not a curated record. The transcript is spliced from 3 exons.